RNAcentral lists this ribosomal RNA (418 nucleotides) under Curtobacterium oceanosedimentum. RNAcentral's name for it is "bacterial SSU rRNA". It matches the Rfam family "Bacterial small subunit ribosomal RNA", at positions 74 to 507 of the family's 1533-position model. The record is from RNAcentral. Lineage: Bacteria; Bacillati; Actinomycetota; Actinomycetes; Micrococcales; Microbacteriaceae.
AGCCUUGCUGGGUUGAUUAGUGGCGAACGGGUGAGUAACACGUGAGUAACCUGCCCCUGACUCUGGGAUAAGCGUUGGAAACGACGUCUAAUACUGGAUAUGAUCGCCGGCCGCAUGGUCUGGUGGUGGAAAGAUUUUUUGGUUGGGGAUGGACUCGCGGCCUAUCAGCUUGUUGGUGAGGUAAUGGCUCACCAAGGCGACGACGGGUAGCCGGCCUGAGAGGGUGACCGGCCACACUGGGACUGAGACACGGCCCAGACUCCUACGGGAGGCAGCAGUGGGGAAUAUUGCACAAUGGGCGAAAGCCUGAUGCAGCAACGCCGCGUGAGGGAUGACGGCCUUCGGGUUGUAAACCUCUUUUAGUAGGGAAGAAGCGAAAGUGACGGUACCUGCAGAAAAAGCACCGGCUAACUACGUG